CUGGACCGGUGAGAGCAGGAGACUGGGGUGGCUCAGGUCAAAGCAGGUGACCAGGGGAACAGAUGCGAACUACUGUUUAGAACUGGCAGGAAAGUUGUUUACCCAAACUAGAGGCAAGGGGGCACAGAGAACCAGGAAGUUAAACUUUAAAAUGGAGAAUUAAA
Molecule: long non-coding RNA, 164 nt
Organism: Sapajus apella (tufted capuchin)
Lineage: Eukaryota; Metazoa; Chordata; Mammalia; Primates; Cebidae
Exons: 3
Source: RefSeq, a predicted model, not a curated record